This 76-nucleotide transfer RNA is filed under the name Robiginitomaculum sp. RNAcentral's name for it is "tRNA-Trp". It matches the Rfam family "tRNA". From Rfam's summary of the family: Transfer RNA (tRNA) molecules are approximately 80 nucleotides in length. Their secondary structure includes four short double-helical elements and three loops (D, anti-codon, and T loops). Lineage: Bacteria; Pseudomonadati; Pseudomonadota; Alphaproteobacteria; Maricaulales; Robiginitomaculaceae. The record is from RNAcentral. RNAcentral also lists the same sequence under 1 other name.
AGAGGUGUAGCUCAGUUGGUAGAGCAUCGGUCUCCAAAACCGAGGGCCGGGAGUUCGAGUCUCUCCACCUCUGCCA